GAUAAGCUCAUAUUUAUAUAUAUUUUACAUAAAAUUCACUUGUCUUUUCUUAGUUAGUUCCUUAUAUUUUUGAGCUAUUUACUAUGUUUUUGUGUUUUGUGUGAUUUAUCAAGCAAAGAAAAGAAAAGUAGCACAAGUGAAUUAUUAAGUAACAAAUUCGUCAAAACUGCCUGUGCAGAUUAGCUGACUUUGAAAGCAUGUUACGAACAGCUCAAAAUGAAUGAGAAAAUGAACCUUAUAUGCGUGGAAAGUUACGGAUGUCUAUUUUCUGGAGCAAUUUACGGAUUGUUAAUAUCAUUUUUCUAGACGAAGUUAUGGGCAUUGUAAAGCUGAAAGGUUCAGAAACAUGGACAGCACACACACAAAGAGAAAGGCAAGGCAUGGAGAGUUUGACAUGGGCAGAAAAUGGGUGGAUUGUUGGCUGAAAUAAUGAAGAACAUGUGUGUGCAAAUGCAAAGGAAAAACACACACACAUGGGCAAAGGAAACACACACACAUGGGCAAAGGAAACACACACACAUGGGUAGAAAAUGGGUUGAUUUGUGGUUGAAAUGAUGGAGGUCAUGUGUGUGCAAAUGUAAAGGGAAACAUGGACAUCACACACUCAUCCACCACACCCAUUACAUCCACUCAUUACCAAACACUCAUCCACCACACCCAUUACAUCCACUCAUUACCACAACACUCAUCACUACCAUCUUAAUUAGAUGGUGGUCCUCUCCCUAGCCUAUAAAUACAUCCACCCUUCACCAUAACAAAGGGGAAGAAAACCAAAGAGAACACAAUCCACCCAUCCACCCUUCACCAUAACUCACCUAUAUCCAUCCACCACCAUAAUUUGCCACUCAUCCAUCAAACCACACCUUGUGCUGCUACAAAGAGAAGAAGGAGGACCCUUGGACGUGCUUGCCAUUCAAAUUGGAUUGUUGGAGCGUUUUUAGGUGUUUUCUUUCUUUUGUUUUCAAUGUUUAAAUUUGUUUAUCUUUGCUUUGUAAGUAUGAGUGGCUAAACCCCUAUUUAGUUAGGGGGAAGUUUGAAGCCAUGAACAUGCUUGAGAUUUAAAUUGAUUUCUUCCAAUUGUGAUUUGAUAAGUUGUGAUUGCAAUUCAAUUAUCUAUUUUAUUCAUAACUGAUUCUUGUAUGUUUAUUAAGGAUGCAUACUUAGUUUUCAUGCAUGAAUUAGAUGCUAGAAUAUAAAUGAGUUUCACCUAAUCGUUACAAGUUUAUAUUCAUGAAUAGUGAAGGUUGUUUAUCACAAUCGCGUUAAUUGAAUUCUUGGCAUAAGUUUCAUGCAAUUCAUAGUUACAAGUGUUUCGUCAAUGCUUAUGAUUUUCAUAGAACUUAAUGAUUCUUGCUUGUAUCUCUAUUAUGCAAUUCAUGUAGGGAACUUGUGGGGAAUGCUUUGGGUUGUUG
Molecule: long non-coding RNA, 1412 nt
Filed under: Malus domestica (apple)
Lineage: Eukaryota; Viridiplantae; Streptophyta; Magnoliopsida; Rosales; Rosaceae
Description: long non-coding RNA (MDOM_LNC017340)
Source: RNAcentral